RNAcentral lists this ribosomal RNA (776 nucleotides) under uncultured Neocallimastigales. Its description in RNAcentral is "partial large subunit ribosomal RNA". It matches the Rfam family "Eukaryotic large subunit ribosomal RNA", at positions 26 to 627 of the family's 3401-position model. The record is from RNAcentral. Lineage: Eukaryota; Fungi; Neocallimastigomycota; Neocallimastigomycetes; Neocallimastigales.
CGUCUAUAUACGUAUAGCAUAUCAAUAAGCGGAGGAAAAGAAACUAACUAGGAUUCCCUCAGUAACGGCGAGUGAAGCGGGAAGAGCUCAAAUUUGAAAUCUUCAAGGUUCUACCUUGACGAAUUGUAGUUUAAAGAAGUGUUUUCUGUUGGAGUUUUGGUAAAAGUUCUUUGGAAUAGGACAUCAUAGCGGGUGAGAAUCCCGUAUUUGACCAUUAUUUCCAACUUUGUGAUACACUUUCAAAGAGUCGGAUUGUUUGGGAAUGCAGUCCAAAAUGGGUGGUAAAUUUCAUCUAAAGCUAAAUACUGGCGAGAGACCGAUAGCGAACAAGUACCGUGAGGGAAAGAUGAAAAGAACUUUGAAAAGAGAGUUAAACAGUACGUGAAAUUGUCAAAAGGGAAGCGUUUGACACCAGUGUUGUUUUCUCGAAAAUCAAUUAAAAAUGACCGGAUUUUGUGUUGUAUUGACUUUAUCAGCUUUCUGCACUCUUUUCUUGUCUUUUUUAAUGCACUUUUCGUUUAACAAGUCAACAUCAAUUUCUUUUGUUGUAAAAGAGUCAUUGGAAGGUGGCUUUCUUUUCGGAGAAAGUGUUUAUAGCCUUUGACUUCUGCAGUCGGAGAGAUUGAGGUCUGCAGCGUAGAUCCUUCGGGGUUAGAUGACAUUUGUGCUAAGUUAUAGCCUUUCAUAGACAACUUGUUGACUAUGAUCAGUCAUGUAGCUUACUCGCUUAUGCUUAUUUUACCUACGCUUAGGAUGUUGACGAUCAGCUGAGCGCG